UCUGUCUUUUUUUUGUAUCCAGGACAUGAUCCAGAUCGACCAACAGCGUUCUAGGCUCGGCAAGCCACAUGGUAAGAGGUGACCCGGCAGCGGAGCCCAAGGCGAGGGCCAGCCGGCCAGGCGCUGGGCAGCGACGACAGGAACGCGCCCCAGGCGGCGGCGGUGCCCAGCGGCCUCGUCCAUGAGGUAAGGGCGGCAGCGCGUGCCCUAGACAGAGGGCAGCGAUAUGGUGAGUCAGGUGAGAGGCAACA
Molecule: long non-coding RNA, 251 nt
Filed under: Brachypodium distachyon (stiff brome)
Lineage: Eukaryota; Viridiplantae; Streptophyta; Magnoliopsida; Poales; Poaceae
Description: long non-coding RNA (BDIS_LNC001483)
Source: RNAcentral